This 502-nucleotide ribosomal RNA is filed under the name uncultured bacterium. RNAcentral describes it as "bacterial SSU rRNA". It matches the Rfam family "Bacterial small subunit ribosomal RNA", at positions 28 to 516 of the family's 1533-position model. The record is from RNAcentral.
GAUGAACGCUAGCUACAGGCUUAACACAUGCAAGUCGAGGGGAAACGACAUUGGAAGCUUGCUUCCUUUGGGCGUCGACCGGCGCACGGGUGAGUAACGCGUAUCCAACCUUCCCGCAAGUAAGGGAUAACCCGUAGAAAUGCGGCCUAAUACCCAAUGAUAUCUCUAGAAGACAUCUGAAGGAGAUUAAAGAUUUAUCGGUGAUGGAUGGGGAUGCGUCUGAUUAGCUUGUUGGCGGGGUAACGGCCCACCAAGGCAACGAUCAGUAGGGGUUCUGAGAGGAAGGUCCCCCCACAUUGGAACUGAGACACGGUCCAAACUCCUACGGGAGGCAGCAGUGAGGAAUAUUGGUCAAUGGGCGAGAGCUUGAACCAGCCAAGUAGCGUGCAGGAUGACGGCCCUAUGGGUUGUAAACUGCUUUUAUGCGGGGAUAAACUGACUCACGUGUGGGUCAUUGCAGGUACCGCAUGAAUAAGGACCGGCUAAUUCCGUGCCAGCAGCC